UCCGGUUUGACACCGGCAGUCUCCCAUGAGUCCCCGACAUAACUCGCUGGCAACAUAGGAUAAAGGUUGCGCUCGUUGCGGGACUUAACCCAACACCUCACGGCACGAGCUGACGACAACCAUGCACCACCCGUCACCCGCCCCGAAGGACACCAUGUCUCCAUGGCUUUUCGGGUGAUGUCAAACCCAGGUAAGGUUCUUCGCGUUGCGUCGAAUUAAGCCACAUGCUCCGCCGCUUGUGCGGGCCCCCGUCAAUUCCUUUGAGUUUUAACCUUGCGGUCGUAAUCCCCAGGCGGGGUGCUUAAUGCGUUAGCUGCGGCACGGAGGGAGUGGAUAACCCCCCACACCUAGCACCCAUCGUUUACGGCGUGGACUAC
This 377-nucleotide unclassified non-coding RNA is filed under the name uncultured Euzebyaceae bacterium. RNAcentral describes it as "contains 16S-23S intergenic spacer region". The record is from RNAcentral. Lineage: Bacteria; Bacillati; Actinomycetota; Nitriliruptoria; Euzebyales; Euzebyaceae.